UGCUCUGGUGGAUUAGUGGCGAACGGGUGAGUAACACGUGAGUAACCUGCCCUGAACUCUGGGAUAAGCGUUGGAAACGACGUCUAAUACCGGAUAGGACCUUGGAUCGCAUGAUCUGGGGUGGAAAGUUUUUCGGUUUGGGAUGGACUCGCGGCCUAUCAGCUUGUUGGUGAGGUAAUGGCUCACCAAGGCGUCGACGGGUAGCCGGCCUGAGAGGGUGACCGGCCACACUGGGACUGAGACACGGCCCAGACUCCUACGGGAGGCAGCAGUGGGGAAUAUUGCACAAUGGGCGCAAGCCUGAUGCAGCAACGCCGCGUGCGGGAUGACGGCCUUCGGGUUGUAAACCGCUUUUAGUAGGGAAGAAGGGCUUCGGCUUGACGGUACCUGCAGAAAAAGGACCGGCUAACUACGUGCCAGCAGCCGCGGUAAUACGUAGGGUCCGAGCGUUGUCCGGAAUUAUUGGGCGUAAAGAGCUCGUAGGCGGUUUGUCGCGUCUGCUGUGAAAACUAGAGGCUCAACCUCUAGCCUGCAGUGGGUACGGGCAGACUUGAGUGCGGUAGGGGAGAAUGGAAUUCCUGGUGUAGCGGUGGAAUGCGCAGAUAUCAGGAGGAACACCGAUGGCGAAGGCAGUUCUCUGGGCCGUAACUGACGCUGAGGAGCGAAAGCGUGGGGAGCGAACAGGAUUAGAUACCCUGGUAGUCCACGCCGUAAACGUUGGGCGCUAGAUGUGGGGACCUUUCCACGGUUUCCGUGUCGUAGCUAACGCAUUAAGCGCCCCGCCUGGGGAGUACGGCCGCAAGGCUAAAACUCAAAGGAAUUGACGGGGGCCCGCACAAGCGGCGGAGCAUGCGGAUUAAUUCGAUGCAACGCGAAGAACCUUACCAAGGCUUGACAUACACGAGAACGGGCCAGAAAUGGUCAACUCUUUGGACACUCGUGAACAGGUGGUGCAUGGUUGUCGUCAGCUCGUGUCGUGAGAUGUUGGGUUAAGUCCCGCAACGAGCGCAACCCUCGUCGCAUGUUGCCAGCACGUUAUGGUGGGAACUCAUGUGAGACUGCCGGGGUCAACUCGGAGGAAGGUGGGGAUGACGUCAAAUCAUCAUGCCCCUUAUGUCUUGGGCUUCACGCAUGCUACAAUGGCCGGUACAAAGGGCUGCGAUGUCGUAAGGCGGAGCGAAUCCCAAAAAGCCGGUCUCAGUUCGGAUUGAGGUCUGCAACUCGACCUCAUGAAGUCGGAGUCGCUAGUAAUCGCAGAUCAGCAACGCU
This 1269-nucleotide ribosomal RNA is filed under the name Agromyces sp. RNAcentral's name for it is "bacterial SSU rRNA". It matches the Rfam family "Bacterial small subunit ribosomal RNA", at positions 80 to 1358 of the family's 1533-position model. Lineage: Bacteria; Bacillati; Actinomycetota; Actinomycetes; Micrococcales; Microbacteriaceae. The record is from RNAcentral.